GUAUUGUAUUGCGUUAAACGCGACAUGCAUUCCAUAAGACUUGGUUACAGUGUAUGUGUGUAAAAAUGUAGGACCACAGCAAGAGGAUGGUGUCCCCAGGCCAUAGAACUACAGAGGGUGCACAGGUGUGAGUGGAUGUGUAAACAGAGCGUGCACAUGCCCCCCUUCGAGGGCCAGCAACAACUCGUGUCGACAAUUCGGUAAUGAUCCUUCCGCAGGUUCACCUACGGAAA
This 233-nucleotide unclassified non-coding RNA is filed under the name uncultured fungus. Its description in RNAcentral is "sequence contains ITS1". The record is from RNAcentral. Lineage: Eukaryota; Fungi.